RNAcentral lists this long non-coding RNA (565 nucleotides) under Mytilus galloprovincialis (Mediterranean mussel). The record is from RNAcentral. Lineage: Eukaryota; Metazoa; Mollusca; Bivalvia; Mytilida; Mytilidae.
UGAAAUGAAGCCUUUAUGCUACAUUGUAUAUGUAUAUGUAUAUGAAUAUUAUACCUAUUUGUAUUUGUUUUUAUUUCAGCUUGAUUCCAAUCUUUGGCAAUGGCUAAUACAAGAAGAGGCAAGGCAUACAUGUACAUGUAUAUGUACAAUACAUGAUUCUCUGUAGCAAUUGGAUUGUCUAUUCACCCCUUUAGUUCAACAAAAACAAUGAAACUCUAGACUACUACAUGUAUGAUGUUAUGAAGAUAUUUACAUAUAUCUACAUGUACAUGUACAUAUUUGAUCAGUUUUGAAGAUUAUUUAUGCCAGGUCUAAUCAUGUCGACUAGUACAACAAGUUUUGAUUCAGCUUUCUGACAGGAAUUAUUUAUAAACUUGCAAGCAGUUAUAACAAAUGAAUAUUAUUAAUUGAGUUAAAAAUUAAGCUCAAUUGGUGAAAUUGGACAGUGAAGUGAUUUUGACGCGUAUUGAAGUAGACAUUUCGAAAUUGAUAUUGAAUUAUGUGUAAAUGCAGCAAUGAUUUAUUUAAGAAAUUAAGAAUAUAGAAAUAUUAAAAAAAGAUGGAC